GGGUAUCCCUGGAAGCAUGCCCCUUUGAGUAUCGUUUCAACACAAACUCGCCUGCGUGCUUGAGCAAUCGAGCAUGCUGUGCGGAGAAUGAGCGUUUGGUCAUGAAUUUGGCUAAUCGCUUGAAACAUAUCACAAAAUUCAGUAUCAUCCGUUGAGCAUGUCUCACCUGGUUGAUGUUUGAUAAUUGACUUCGGUCAUCUACAUCUCACAUUGACAUCGGGAGGGUAUAUUGGACUUGUGUAUCAAGGAAUUGUAUUAUGUAAUGCUUAAUUGCAUGCAUGAUCUGACUUUGAUCUCAGAUGGAGCAAGAGAACCCGCCGAAUUUAAGCAUAUUAUUAAGCGGAGGAAAAGAAAAUAACAAUGAUUCCCCUAGUAACGGCGAGUGAAGCGGGAAGAGCUCAAAGUUAAAAUCGGUGUACCGAGAGGUGUUCCGAAUUGUAAUCUAGAGACACUUUUUCAGUCCUGACCCGGGUAUAAAUCUUUUGAAACAAGGUGUCAUAGAGGGUGAGAAUCCCGUCUUUGACCCGGAGUUCGGGGCGUACGAA
Molecule: ribosomal RNA, 545 nt
Filed under: Paracercomonas marina
Lineage: Eukaryota; Cercozoa; Cercomonadida; Cercomonadidae
Description: eukaryotic LSU rRNA
Rfam family: Eukaryotic large subunit ribosomal RNA (bases 291-545)
Source: RNAcentral